GACGAACGCUGGCGGCGUGCCUAAUACAUGCAAGUAGAACGCACAGUUUAUACCGUAGCUUGCUACACCAUAGGCUGUGAGUUGCGAACGGGUGAGUAACGCGUAGGUAACCUGCCUGGUAGCGGGGGAUAACUCUUGGACACGAUCGCUAAUACCGCAUAAUAUUGAUUAUUGCAUGAUAAUUGAUUGAAAGAUGCUAUUGCAUCGCUACCAGAUGGACCUGCGGUGUAUUAGCUAGUAGGGGAGGUAACCGCCUACCUAGGCGACGAUACAUAGGCGAACUGGGAGGGUGGUCCGGCACCCUGGGAACUGGACAACGCCCAGGCUCCCACGGGAGGCAGCAGGAGGGAAUUCUUCGGAAAGGGCGGAAGUCUGACCGAGCAACGGCGGGGGAGUGAAGAAGGGUUUCGGAUCGGUAAGCCCCGUUGUAAGGGAAGAACGAGAUGUGGAGUUGAAAGUGCACACUGUGACGGUACCUUACCAGAAAGCGACGGCUAACUACGUG
RNAcentral lists this ribosomal RNA (505 nucleotides) under uncultured bacterium. Its description in RNAcentral is "partial 16S ribosomal RNA". It matches the Rfam family "Bacterial small subunit ribosomal RNA", at positions 28 to 507 of the family's 1533-position model. The record is from RNAcentral.